Chelonoidis abingdonii (Abingdon island giant tortoise) is the source of this 821-nucleotide non-coding RNA. The record is from RefSeq and is a predicted model, not a curated record. Lineage: Eukaryota; Metazoa; Chordata; Testudines; Testudinidae.
AUGCAGUAAAGGGGGCUGUGUGAUUUAUUUUUUCAGUUUCUCAGUAACCAGCAUGGGGGAUCAGAAGCACAGUUGGUGACUGGUCGGUGAGUUUAACUUCCAUGUUAAGCACCAGUUUUGGGAGCAUCUGCUGUCCCUUUUUCAGCCUACCCUGACCUUGGCUUUUUAAGCGAGGACUGCCCCAGGCACACGGGGUCACACUAAGCACUGAGGUUGAAUUAAUAGAGUGUUUUUAUGACACAGUCAUAUGAAAUAAACUGAACUCCUUUGUUUUCUUUCAUCUGAGCAGGGUUUGCAGUUUCCAAACCUCAUAUAAUCUCCCAGCUGGAACAAGGAGAAGAGCCAUGGGUCCCAGACCUCCAUGGUUCAGAGGAAAGAUGGAUCCUGAGAGCUCCCCACUCAGCAGGUGAUGCAAUGGUAGGUGAGAAAGAGGAGCAGAAUUUUCAGCAGGAAAAUGUCGAGCAAGUGGAUAAACACAGAGCAUUUUUGCAAAGGUCGAAAAGGAAUGUGUCCAGGAGUCAUGAGCAGGGAAACUCCUGUGAGAUUCAGCACAGACCAGAAAGAGAACAGGGAAACCAGCCAGGAGAGAGAGUAGGUAAAUUUAUUUUCUGUCGGGGAUCUCAGAAGAGCAUCAAGGAAACCACAACACAGCAGGAAAUCCCCAUAGGAAAGAAGAAAAAUACAUGUACUGAGUGUAGGAAAACCUUCAAUCACAGUUCGCACCUUAUUAGGCAUCAAACAAUCCACACAGGGGAGAGGCCCUAUGAAUGCAGUGAGUGUGGAAAGUGCUUCACUAGCAGCUCAAACCUUUCUCAACAUCA